This 371-nucleotide ribosomal RNA is filed under the name uncultured bacterium. Its description in RNAcentral is "bacterial SSU rRNA". It matches the Rfam family "Bacterial small subunit ribosomal RNA", at positions 524 to 898 of the family's 1533-position model. The record is from RNAcentral.
UACGGAGGAUGCAAGCGUUAUCCGGAUUUAUUAGGUUUAAAGGGUGCGUAGGUGGGCGUUUAAGUCAGUGGUUAAAGCCAUUAGCUUAACUAAUGUAUGCCAUUGAUACUGGAUGUCUUGAAUGUGGUAGAGGUAGGCGGAAUGUGUUGUGUAGCGGUGAAAUGCUUAGAUAUAACACAGAACACCGAUUGCGAAGGCAGCUUACUAUUCCAUUAUUGACGCUGAUGCACGAAAGCGUGGGGAUCAAACAGGAUUAGAUACCCUGGUAGUCCACGCUGUAAACUAUGAUCACUCGUUUUUGGCGAUAUAUAGUCAGAGACUGAGCGAAAGCAUUAAGUGAUCCACCUGGGGAGUACGUUCGCAAGAAUGAA